AAGCCUAAGAUCUGCUUGGAAGCAUUUCUCUUAUCAACAAAUAUAUUCGGGUAGAAAGGCAUCAACCCUCUCGUUGGUCGAGACAAUCUAAUGGAAAAGUAGGAGAGACAAAAUUAGGCCUUUUCAAAAAUCCUAAGAUUCUCCGAAUCUAAGGUGUACAGCUCGGCACUCGAACCUGUUGGCUACUCAAUAGCUUCGCUCCAAGAGGACUGUCAAGUAGAA
RNAcentral lists this long non-coding RNA (222 nucleotides) under Elaeis guineensis (African oil palm). RNAcentral's name for it is "long non-coding RNA (EGUI_LNC017275)". Lineage: Eukaryota; Viridiplantae; Streptophyta; Magnoliopsida; Arecales; Arecaceae. The record is from RNAcentral.